This is a long non-coding RNA of Felis catus (domestic cat), 444 nucleotides long. RefSeq lists it as uncharacterized. The transcript has 3 exons. Lineage: Eukaryota; Metazoa; Chordata; Mammalia; Carnivora; Felidae. The record is from RefSeq and is a predicted model, not a curated record.
CACAUCCACGUGCACGUUUGAGAAGAUGGGGCUCAGCGUAUCCUGGGCCACGGUGCCGGUGGCUGGGGGCUUCCCGGGAAGAGUGCUGGGCCAGGGUCUCAAGACCCCAGACUCUGUUCCAGUUCUUUCUGGGAUCUCUCCCUGGGACUGUGCAGCCUCAGUAGCCAGGAGACGCUGUGUUAGAGGAGACUGGUGGGAGAGCCCCAAAGAGCUGGAAACCCGGACUCCUUUGCCUCCGGAAAGGACCCUCGGGGCACGUGGGUGGCUCAGUAGGUUAAGCGUCCGGCUCAGGUCGUGAUCCCACGGGAAGUGAGCUGCAUUUCUCCAAAAAUCCAGAGCGGGAGCUGAAGCCUAAAACGCACCCGCCUUCGGGGAGUCGGUUACUCACGGAUGUGCGAUGCGUCUGAAGUUGGCGAAGGGGCCCUGGAUACGCUGCCGCAGCUC